UCAACUUCCGGUUACACGAUGUUGGCUGUCAACAUUUUAAUUAUUUUAAGUUUCUUUGUAUCAAGUGUACACAGUUGGGAUAGCGAAGAUUUAGAAUUGUUUGAUUUGGUUGAAGAAAUUAACGGAAACUUUUACGAGCUCCUGGAUAUAAAACGCGAUGACAAUUUAUCUGAGAUCAAAAAGGCAUACAAGAAAAAGGCAUUGAAGCUUCAUCCGGACAAGAACGAUGCACCUGAUGCUGAAGUUCAGUUUAGACAGUUGGUGGCUGUUUAUGAAAUACUCAAAGAAGAGGAGAAGAGAAAAAAGUAUGACAACGUGCUGGAUAAUGGCCUGCCGGACUGGCGCCAGCCGGUGUUCUACUUUCGCAAGGCGCGCAAGCUGGGACUACUGGAAUUGGCGGGCCUGCUGUCCCUGAUCGUUACUGUGGGACAGUACUUUGUUAUGUGGGCUGCCUACUUGGAGAGGAGGCUUGCUAUGGAGGACUUCUUUAUGUCUAAACGGAAACGAGAGACCAAGGGGAAGCGUGGCAAGGCAGUGGCAAUUAAUGAGAAAUUGGAGGAGGACUUACAUCAAACUCUGGAAGCACUACCAAAGCCACAUAUAAAGAACCUGUGGCCUAUCACGUUCACAAAGUGGGCCACCCUGCAGUUGGUUACCUUGCCUAAAUCGAUACGAGAAAGGAGAGAGCAGCAAAGACUUGCGAAGGAGAUCAGAGAGAAAGAGAGACAAGAAGAGGAGCGAAAAAGGGAGGAAUAUUUAAAAGAAUUGGAUCUUCGAAAACAGAAGCGGAAAGUGAAACAUGAGCCAGUGAUAGCUUCAGCAAUAUCGUCGGAUGUCACACCGGUAAUGUACGGGAUGUCACCAGAGGAGGAGGACAGUGAAGACAGUGCUUCAGAGACGUAUUGUAAAACUGGGAUGAAGACAGGGGAGUGGACAGACGAGGAUUAUGUGGUACUAUCCAAAGCGUACAUCAAGUUCCCGGGAGGCACUGUGGAACGAUGGGAGAAGAUUGCAGACAUGGUUGGCAGGCCAGUAUCAGAGGUAACUGCCAAGUGUAAGAAGAUGAAGGGCAACUUCAAGAUGAAUCUCAGCACCUCUGUGCAAGCUGGUCUGAAGACCAAAAACAGAGUUCAAAUAAGUGACAAUGUCAUAUCCAAAUCAGAGGAUGAUGUUGUUACAGUAGAGAUCAGCAACACAGAAAACACCGAAAAUAAAGUAAGAAAAAGAAGUAAAUAUUCAAAAAAUAUUGAUAGAACUUUAAUGAUAUCAAAAUCAGACACUGAUGAAAUGCUAGAUGCAGACACUCAAACUCAGUCAGCAUGUCCAACUGGUGCAGAAAGUUCAAGUCAAAACUUUACUUCUAAUAAGCCAAAGUCAAAUGGAGAAAAACUGUUGGUGUCAGUGAAUGAAAAGCUGGGCGCUAGUGUCCCUUCCACCAAAGGAUCAAGUGGUCUGGAUCUGGAUCUGGGGUCAGAAGAUGCUGAGGUUUGGUCGCAGAAUCAGCAGGUUAUUCUUGAGUGGGCGUUGAAACAGUAUCCCAAAGGAACAGACCAGAGAUGGGAGAAAAUUGCAGAGCACAUACCUGGGAAAAGCAAGGAGGACUGUAUCCAGAGAUUCAAAUACCUGGCUGAGCUGGUGAAGCAAAGGAAAAUGCAGUAGUCAGGUGCCAAAUUUCUCUAGUGUAAACCAUGAGACAGGGAGGAAAGAAAAACAGCAUGAGAGGACUGUAUCCAGAGAUUCAAAUACCUGGCUGAGCUGGUGAAGCAAAGGAAAAUGCAGUAGUCAGGUGCCAAAUUUCUCUAGUGUAAACCAUGAGACAGGGAGGAAAGAAAAACAGCAUGAGUAAACGAAACACACUGUAUAUUUUUAAAUAUUUAAAACACAAAAAACAUGUUGCUACACUCAGUAAGCUAUUUAAGAGAAUUAUUUCUUCAUUUAUUUGUGUGUGUGUGUCCAAGCUUGUGCUGUAACUUUGUCAUUGAUCAUGCAAUUUUAAAAUAACUUAACACAAAUGUUCAGCAUAAUAAGACAACGGUCAAAAAGACCAGAAAACAGCUUGUUCAGGUUGUAACCUGAUAUUUAUUAUGCAAUUUUAUCAUGACUUACCACAAAUGUCCACCAUAAAAAACGAAGUGUGACGUGUUACAAUCGUCACCCCUUACUUAUAGGUCAAGGUCAUACUUAACGUCAAAGGUUUCACUUUACCAUUAAACAGUCCUGACUGUAACUUCCUGCAUGCAAUUUAUACAAAUAAUGUUACCCAUGCAUCAAAGGCUUGUUGCACGCAAGUCCGGCAUCCAUCAAGGUCACAAUAAAGGUCAAAGAUGUACAUGGUGCAAGAUGUAAAAUAAAAAAGCUUAGUUGUUCUAGGCUAUUGCUCAUGAUUGAUAUUAUGCUUUUUUGAAAAACAAUGCUGUAUAUUCUUCUAUAUUAUAUUUAUUGUUAUAUUUAUUGUCAUACUAGUAGAGGGAAAGCUUGUUAGCCAACCUGAGCACAACGUGCUCAUGGUGAGCUUUUGUGAUCGCUUUUUGUCUGUCGUCCGUCGUGCGCCGUCAACAUUUGCCCUGUUAACUCUCUAGAGGCCACAUUUAUUGUCUUCAUGAAAUUUGGUCAGAAGAUUGGACUCAAUGAUAUCUUGGAUGAGUUCGAAAAUGGUUUUGGUUGCUUUAAAAAUAUGGCCACCAGGGGCGGGGCAUUUUUCCUUAUAUGGCUUUAGUAAAACCUUGUUAACACUCUAGAGGCCACAUUUACUGUCCGAUCUUCAUGAAACUUGGUCAGAAGAUUCAUCUCGGUAAUAUCUUGGAAGAGUUGAAAAAUGAUGCCGGUUGGUUGAAAAACAUGGCUGCCAGGGAGCGGGGCAUUUUUCCAUAUAUGGUUAUAGUAAAACCUUGUUUACACUCUUGAGGCCACAUUUAUUUUCCAAUCUUCUUGAAACUUGGUCAGAAGAUUUGUUCCAAUAAUAUCUUGUUAUAUCAGGUGAGCGACUUUGGGCCUUUUAGGCCCUCUUGUUUUUAAUUUAAUCUGCCUGUGUUGUCACUGGCUUUAUUUUUUGGUGUCUUGUGAUUUUGGGCAAGUUUAAAUUACGAUGUCUCGGAUUUAGGAUUUAACUUGUAAUGUUAUUGAUAUAUUUUGCAUUUUUAUUCAAUUCAUAAAUUGUUUUUAAAAUUUUUUUGGGGGGGAGCAUAUAGUCGCCGCUUCGUCUGUCCGUCCGUCCGUCCGUCCGUCCGUGCACAAUUUUUGUCCGGGCUAUUUCUCAGCAACUAAUGACCGGAAUUCAAUGAAACUUUAUGAGAAGCUUCACUACCAAGAGGAAGUGUGCAUAUUAUCAGGGGGUUCUGGUCGGAUGAUUUUUAACAGAGUUAUGGCCCUUUGAAAUUUUCCAUUAACUGUACAUAUAGUGCAAUUCUUGUCCGGGUUAUUUCUCAGCAACUUAUGACCGGAAUUCAAUGAAACUUUAUGGGAAGCUUCAAUACCAAGAGGAGAUGUGCAUAUUAUCAGCGGGUUUGGUCGGAUGAUUUUUCACAGAGUUACGGCCCUUUGAAAUUUUCUAUAAAACAAUUAUUGUCCCCCCAACUACUGUGCCCUCAAGACGUUUCCUUUUAUCUGAAUAUAUAGUGCAAUAUUGUGACAAAAAAAACUUUGGGGAGCAUCACCCGUCUUGACGGUUUCUUGUUAACAGAGUUAUUGCCCUUUGAAAUUUUCCAUUAACUGUACAUAUAGUGCAAUUCUUGCCCGUGCUAUUUCUCAGCAACUAAUGACCGGAAUUCAAUGAAACUUUAUGGGAAGCUUCACUACCAAGAGGAGAUGUGCAUAUUAUCAGCCAGUUCUAGUCGGAUGAUUUUUCACAGAGUUAUGGCCCUUUGAAAUUUUCCAUUGUACAUAUAGUGCAAUUCUUGUCCGAGCUAUUUCUCAGCAACUUAUUACGGGAAUUCAAUGGAACUUUAUGGGGAGCUUCACUACCAACCGGAGAUGUGCAUAUUAUCAGCCGCUUAUGGUCGGAUGAUUUUUCACAGAGUUAUGGCCCUUUGAAAUUUUCUAUAAACUGUACAUAUAGUGAAAUUCUUGUCCGGGCUAUUUCUCCCCAACUACUGACUGGAAUUCAAUGAAGCUUUAUGGGAAGCUUAACUACCUUGAGGAGAUGCGCAUGUUAUUUGUGAGUUCUAGUUAGAUGAUUUAUUUAGAGAGUUAUGGCCCUUUGAAAAUUUGAAGUUGCUAAACCAUCCAUCGUUUUAUUUAGUCCAAAGUUAUGCCCCUCAAGACGUUUCCUUUUAUCUGAAUAUGUAGUGCAAUAUUAUGACAAAAAAAACACCUUUGGGAAGCAUCACCCGUCUCCGACGGUUUCUUGUCUUACUUUAAAUUGUGACAAUUUGAGCAUUUAUUAUUAGCGAGGCUGUUUUCGGAGAAACCCAAGCUAUUGUCAUAGCCAGCUCGCCUGACGUCCGCUGUCCGACGUACGGGUCGUGCUAAAACCUUAACAUUGGCUCAAAAAUCAAAGUGCUUCCACCUACAACUUUGAAACUUCAUAUGUAGAUGCACCUUGAUGAGUUCUACACGCCACACCCAUUUUUGGGUCACUAGGUCAAAGGUCAAGGUCACUGUGACCUCUAAUAUUAAACUUUAACAUAGGCUCUAAAAUCAAAGUGCUUCCUCCUACAACUUUGAAACUUCAUUUGUAGUAGCACCUUGAUGAGUUCUACAUGCCACACCCAUUUUUGGGUCACUAGGUCAAAGGUCAAGGUCACUGUGACCUCUAAAAAAAAAAAAAUCUGACAAGCUUUCGCAGCCGAGCGUGUCACCCGUUAUGCGGUGCUCUUGUUAUUUUUAUUAUUAUUCAUUUACAUUAAAGUGUUCAGGCUAGGCUUAUCACUUCAGCCUUAUUUUUAGCUCACCUGAGCACAACCGUGCUCAUGCUCAGCUUUUGGGAUCAUCUUUUGUUCGUCGUCAACAUUUUGCCUUGUGAACACUCUUGUGGCCACAUUAAUUGUCUGAUCUGCAUGAAACUUGGUCGGAAGAUUUGUCCCAAUGAUAUCAUGGUCGAGUUCAGAACUGGGUCAUGCUGGGUCAAAAACUAGGUCAAAAAAAGAAAAACCUUGUGUACACUGUAGAAGUCACAUUUGAUGCCCAAUCUUCAUGUAACUUUGUCUUAAUGAUAAGUUGGUUGAGUUCAAAAAAUGUUCCGGUCCAUUAAAAAACAUGGCCGCCAGGGGGCGGGGUGGCUAUAGAGAAACCUUAUGAUCACAAUUUAUGCCCAAUCAUCAUGAAACUUGGUCAAAACAUUGGUUUCAUUGGGGGCGGGGCAGUUUUCUCUAGAGUCAAAACAUGUGAACACUCUAGAAGUCACAUUUUUGGUCCAAUCUUCAUGCAAUUUGGUCAGAAUAUUUGUUUCCUGGAUACGAUGGUUGAGUGCGAAAUUGCUUUGGAUCGGUAAAAAAAACAUGGCCGCCAGGGGGUCAUAGUAAAAAAAGCUUUAGAACACUCUAGAAGUCACAUUUUUGCCUAAUCAUCUUCAAAUUUUGUCUAAAUGUCGAUUUUAUAGAUAUCUUGGAAGAGUUCGAAAAUGGUCAUGAUCGGUGGAAAAACAUGGCCGCCAGGGGGGGGGGGGCAGUUUUCUCUAUAUGUAUAUAGUGAAAACAUGUGAACAUUUUUUGCCCAAUCUUCAUGACAUUUGGUCAGAACAUUUUUUUUCCUGAAUAUGACGGUUGAGUUGAAGAAUGGUUUUAAUCCAUCUAGUAACAUGACCGCCAGGGGGGGGGGGGGGGUGCGGGGGUCAUUUUCCUUAUAUUUAUAUACUAAAAAAGCUUGUGAACACUCUGAUAGUCACAUUUUUUUGCCGAUCGUCAUGAAACUUGGUCAAAACAUUGGUUUUAUUGAUAUGUCGGAUGAGUUUGAAAAUGGUCGUGAUCAGUGAAAAAACAUGGCCGCCAGGGGAUGGGGCAGUUUUCUCUAUAUGUAUGUAAGAAGCAUUUUCCUUAUAUAUAUAUUUUUUAAAAAUCUGGGUAUUAAAAACAUGGCCGACAUGGUGGGUGGGGUAAUUUUCUAUGUAGGCCUAUUGUAAAUACUUUGGAACACCUUAUUUUUAAAGUCAGUCUUGUCAUACCAAUAAUUUGAAAUAUGCUGAAGUGUUUUAAUCUUUGUUUCUUUCCAUCUUAGUCUCUCAGGUGAGCGAGCCAGUGCCCUCUGGGGCUUCUUGUUUAAUGUUCUGAUUGUUUUUCUCUCAGUGGUUUGGAAGCUAGGAUGUUUCUCUGGAGUUGUGUGUAUAUUUGUUAAAAUACUGAUGUUCUUACAUAAGUGUAACACAAUUGUUGAUACAUGCUGAAAUAAUGGUGCGGCCAAAUAAAAAAGUAAAACAUC
Molecule: RNA transcript, 6351 nt
Organism: Dreissena polymorpha
Lineage: Eukaryota; Metazoa; Mollusca; Bivalvia; Myida; Dreissenidae
Gene name: dnaJ homolog subfamily C member 1-like
Exons: 12
Source: RefSeq, a predicted model, not a curated record